Molecule: long non-coding RNA, 1248 nt
Filed under: Homo sapiens (human)
Lineage: Eukaryota; Metazoa; Chordata; Mammalia; Primates; Hominidae
Description: HSALNT0392804
Source: RNAcentral
GUAAGUCCAGCCCGAGGCUAAGGUGAGAGCGUCUGCCGGGACAGUGUGGCUGGACCCACGUGGCAGGAGGUGUUAACCACCGAAGGGAGGUAGAAUGUUUUUCCCCACCAGAGGAGGCAGCGACCACGUCUCCUCUAUGGAGGCAUUCAAGAGCCGUCCAGCUGAAGCAGCAUCACUGUCUGAGCUCGGAAGGCACAAUCCACAUAGGUCUGCAUGGUCCACCGAGCUGCAUACCCACGGGGCCAGCGGGAGGUGGGCAGCUGCUGGGCUCUCUUCUGAAGCAGGGUCUUGCUCUGUCACCCAGUCUGGAAUGCAGUGGUGCCAUCAUAGCUCACUACAGCCUGAGCUGUACUGAGCUCGAGGGAUCUUCCCGUCUCCGCCUCCUAAGCAGCUGGGACUACAGGUAAUGGAAGUGGGCAGAGAAUGAUCCUUUCCCUAGGCUCCAGUGUGUAAGAAUUAAAGAAAGAGGAAAGAAACACAAUGGCUUGAUGGUCGAGGACAGGUUUAUUUUAAAGAAAACAAACCCAAGAGUGGCUUCUGGCUGAGUUAGAUCAGAGGCAUGCUCUCUUACAGACUAAGAGUUUUUAAGGAUUCAGGGUGGGAGAGUUUAUCAGAGGCUUGGACUGCUUCUGUGUCUCUUUAGGUGUGCUUAUCUGGGAGGGAGUUGUGUGUCUGUUUCCAUACAUCUUCCUGCAGCUGCAGGCAUACCCCCAGGUCUGCUUUUAGCUUCCCUAUCUUAGUGCACCUGAAGGGAAAGAAUGUGCUUAUUAAGGCCCACUGUUAUACUGGGGCCCAAUGUAUGAGGGUGAAGUUUGGCAAUUACCCAAGAGACUUUCCCCCCACCUCCCUCUGUGCCUGAGCUGUCUCAUCUAUGUUUUACUGUCUGCUCUUUCUGUCUGCUUGUUGUUAGAAGAGAAGUGAUUUUCUUGAAAUGCAUGAGGCUGGAAAGGGAGCUGGCACUUAAAGUGGCGGUGUUUGUCCGAGAGGAUGGUGCUCCUGCUCUGUCACAGUGGGCAUGGGGAUUCAGGCCACUGCCACCGAAUUUCAAGAGCCCAAGCACAGAGCCCAGAACUAAAUUGUGAGGGUUUAAAAAAAAAAAAAGCUUUAUUGAAGUAUAAUUGACAUACAAUAAACUUGAAUAUUUAAAGUGUACAAUUUAUGCGUUUGGGCAUUUGUAUAUACCCCUGCAACCAUCAGCACACUGAAGAUAAGGAAUAUACCCAUUACCCCUGAAAAUUUCCCCAUGCC